RNAcentral lists this transfer RNA (74 nucleotides) under Chitinophagaceae bacterium. RNAcentral's name for it is "tRNA-Met". It matches the Rfam family "tRNA". From Rfam's summary of the family: Transfer RNA (tRNA) molecules are approximately 80 nucleotides in length. Their secondary structure includes four short double-helical elements and three loops (D, anti-codon, and T loops). Further hydrogen bonds mediate the characteristic L-shaped molecular structure. tRNAs have two regions of fundamental functional importance: the anti-codon, which is responsible for specific mRNA codon recognition, and the 3' end, to which the tRNAs corresponding amino acid is attached (by aminoacyl-tRNA synthetases). tRNAs cope with the degeneracy of the genetic code in two manners: having more than one tRNA (with a specific anti-codon) for a particular amino acid; and 'wobble' base-pairing, i.e. permitting non-standard base-pairing at the 3rd anti-codon position. The record is from RNAcentral. Lineage: Bacteria; Pseudomonadati; Bacteroidota; Chitinophagia; Chitinophagales; Chitinophagaceae. RNAcentral also lists the same sequence under 2 other names.
GGCGUGAUAGCUCAGUUGGUUAGAGCGCAGCACUCAUAAUGCUGAGGUCUCGAGUUCAAAUCUCGAUCACGCUA